GCUGGUGUAGCUCAAUGGAAGAGCGGCUGCUUCGUAAGCAGCUGGUUGAGGGUUCAAGUCCUUUCGCCAGCUCCA
This 75-nucleotide transfer RNA is filed under the name Caudoviricetes sp. RNAcentral's name for it is "tRNA-Thr". It matches the Rfam family "tRNA". From Rfam's summary of the family: Transfer RNA (tRNA) molecules are approximately 80 nucleotides in length. Their secondary structure includes four short double-helical elements and three loops (D, anti-codon, and T loops). Further hydrogen bonds mediate the characteristic L-shaped molecular structure. tRNAs have two regions of fundamental functional importance: the anti-codon, which is responsible for specific mRNA codon recognition, and the 3' end, to which the tRNAs corresponding amino acid is attached (by aminoacyl-tRNA synthetases). tRNAs cope with the degeneracy of the genetic code in two manners: having more than one tRNA (with a specific anti-codon) for a particular amino acid; and 'wobble' base-pairing, i.e. permitting non-standard base-pairing at the 3rd anti-codon position. The record is from RNAcentral. Lineage: Duplodnaviria; Heunggongvirae; Uroviricota; Caudoviricetes.